GCAUCGAUGAAGAACGCAGCGAAACGCGAUAAUGUCAUGCGAAUUGCAGAUCUUCGUGAAGCAUCGAAUCUUUGAACGCAAAUUGCGCUUUCGAGAUAUCUCGAAAGCACGUUCGUUCGAGCGUUGAACAUACAUUUGUAAAACAAAAAUUCUUGAAGGUUCGAAAGAUUUUUUCUUUCGAUCCUUUUAAAUGGAUGCAAAAAGAAACCGAAGGAAGAACGGUGAUUUUUCUGGCGGAGAACACGUUCCUUUCGAUAGGCGAUACAAAAGUCUCGAAAGGUAUCCUCUUCUUUGAAUCUUCAUUUUCUUUUUUCGUUUCUCACAUUCAAAACAUCAACCUCGAAUCGAUCGAGAUUACCCGCUGAAUUUAAGCAUAUCAAUAAGCGGAGGA
Molecule: ribosomal RNA, 391 nt
Filed under: uncultured fungus
Lineage: Eukaryota; Fungi
Description: eukaryotic LSU rRNA
Rfam family: 5.8S ribosomal RNA (bases 1-126)
Source: RNAcentral